CAGUCGCCGCGGUAAUACGUAGGUGGUAAGCGUUGUCCGGAAUUAUUGGGCGUAAAGGGCUCGCAGGCGGUUUCUUAAGUCUGAUGUGAAAGCCCCCGGCUCAACCGGGGAGGGUCAUUGGAAACUGGGAAAAUUGAGUGCAGAAGAGGAGAGUGGAAUUCCACGUGUAGCGGUGAAAUGCGUAGAGAUGUGGAGGAACACCAGUGGCGAAGGCGACUCUCUGGUCUGUAACUGACGCUGAGGAGCGAAAGCGUGGGGAGCGAACAGGAUUAGAUACCCCAGUAGUCCCUGUCUCUUAUAA
Molecule: ribosomal RNA, 301 nt
Filed under: uncultured bacterium
Lineage: Bacteria
Description: partial 16S ribosomal RNA
Rfam family: Bacterial small subunit ribosomal RNA
Source: RNAcentral